GACGAACGCUGGCGGCGUGCCUGAUACAUGCAAGUCGAGCGGACAGAUAAGGAGCUUGCUCCUUUGAAGUCAGCGGCGGACGGGUGAGUAACACGUGGGCAACCUGCCUAUAAGACUGGGAUAACUCCGGGAAACCGGGGCUAAUACCGGAUAGAUUCUUUCCUCUCAUGAGGAAAGAAGGAAAGAUGGUUUCGGCUAUCACUUAUAGAUGGGCCCGCGGCGCAUUAGCUAGUUGGUAAGGUAACGGCUUACCAAGGCGACGAUGCGUAGCCGACCUGAGAGGGUGAUCGGCCACACUGGGACUGAGACACGGCCCAGACUCCUACGGGAGGCAGCAGUAGGGAAUCUUCCGCAAUGGACGAAAGUCUGACGGAGCAACGCCGCGUGAACGAAGAAGGCCUUCGGGUCGUAAAGUUCUGUUGUUAGGGAAGAACAAGUACGAUAGUAACUGAUCGUACCUUGACGGUACCUAACCAGAAAGCCACGGCUAACUACGUGCCAGCCGCCGCAGUAA
This 514-nucleotide ribosomal RNA is filed under the name uncultured bacterium. RNAcentral describes it as "partial 16S ribosomal RNA". It matches the Rfam family "Bacterial small subunit ribosomal RNA", at positions 28 to 523 of the family's 1533-position model. The record is from RNAcentral.